AUGCUUACCUGGCAGAGGAAAUAUCAUGAUCAUGAAGGUGGUUUUCCCGCGGUGAGCACCAUCCAUUGAACUCCGAUUAGGCUGACCCCUGUGAUUUCUCCAAAUGAAGGGAACUCAAAUGCAUUGAUUUGUGGUAGGGAGGCAUUGCAUUCAUGCACAUGGCAUUU
RNAcentral lists this small nuclear RNA (167 nucleotides) under Microtus ochrogaster (prairie vole). RNAcentral describes it as "U1 spliceosomal RNA (ENSMOCG00000004655.1)". It matches the Rfam family "U1 spliceosomal RNA". From Rfam's summary of the family: U1 is a small nuclear RNA (snRNA) component of the spliceosome (involved in pre-mRNA splicing). Its 5' end forms complementary base pairs with the 5' splice junction, thus defining the 5' donor site of an intron. Lineage: Eukaryota; Metazoa; Chordata; Mammalia; Rodentia; Cricetidae. The record is from RNAcentral.